AUAGGCAUCACAUGGCUCUGGCCUUGUCAGGUUCACAAACCUGUUUUCAGUGUGCAUGGCAGACGCUGAGAGCCAAGCAGAGGUUCAUCCUGAGGCCACUGUCCACACAGCUUGCUCAGCCAGACACGGGAUUGCUAGAGAGGCAGCCUAUUUGCUGCCCCCUCGCACACGCAUGCUCUGUUUGGGGCGGGGAGGAGAAUGGAAAGCCAGGUGAAGACUGUGUACGUUAAGUUCCCCAGGGAAAGUCCCUGAAUGCCAUUCCAAGGACUUCCACCGCAAUGUGACGGGGAAGUGGAAUGACCAAGAGCCUAAAAGCAGGAGAGUGCGAGAGAGUAGUAACGAACAUUUGCGGAGCACUGACACGCCAGUUUUCGGCGGACACAACAUCUUUGUUUGUAUGUGGUCCUGAGGAUCGAACCUGGGCCGCACACAUGCCAGGCGAGCGCGCUACCGCUUGAGCCACAUCCCCAGCCCACCAAGUUUUCACUCAGCUCUGCAUGUAGACAUGUCGUUCACUUGAGAAAUGUUUUGCCCAAAACUAUGACGCAGGAUUAACUAGACUUGUGUAGCCUCUUUCCUCCCACUUCAAGGCUAAAGACACACCAUCACCAGAAACACCAGACCAUAACUGAAGUAAAAAGAGGUGGUACCCCAAGUUCCUGGAAGAUUUCUACCUGUUCCCAGAAAAGAUAUGAAUUUUCUUCCUUUUAUUAGCCUCUCUCCCUCAUUAUUCCUGUCCUAUAUCCAAAACUUCUAAAGCCCCUGGAGUUGAGAAGUUGAUGUGCCAGCAGAGCACCCUCUUGCCCCAUUCUUGGACAUUAAAUAAA
Marmota monax (woodchuck) is the source of this 827-nucleotide long non-coding RNA. RefSeq lists it as uncharacterized. The transcript is spliced from 3 exons. The record is from RefSeq and is a predicted model, not a curated record. NCBI's taxonomy places the organism in Eukaryota, Metazoa, Chordata, Mammalia, Rodentia, Sciuridae.